RNAcentral lists this ribosomal RNA (253 nucleotides) under uncultured bacterium. RNAcentral's name for it is "partial 16S ribosomal RNA". It matches the Rfam family "Bacterial small subunit ribosomal RNA", at positions 524 to 776 of the family's 1533-position model. The record is from RNAcentral.
GACGUAGGGCGCGAGCGUUGUCCGGAUUUAUUGGGCGUAAAGAGCUCGUAGGCGGCUUGUCGCGUCGUCCGUGAAAACUUGGGGCUCAACCCCAAGCUUGCGGUCGAUACGGGCAGGCUAGAGUUCGGUAGGGGAGACUGGAAGUCCUGGUGUAGCGGUGAAAUGCGUAGAUAUCUGGAGGAACACCGGUGGCGAAAGCGACUCACUGGACCGACACUGACGCUGAGGUGCGAAAGCUAGGGUAGCAAACGGG